Molecule: non-coding RNA, 265 nt
Filed under: Clostridium saccharoperbutylacetonicum
Lineage: Bacteria; Bacillati; Bacillota; Clostridia; Eubacteriales; Clostridiaceae
Description: T-box sequence
Rfam family: T-box leader
About the family: Uncharged tRNA acts as the effector for transcription antitermination of genes in the T-box leader family. T-boxes are found upstream of many aminoacyl-tRNA synthetase genes and some amino acid biosynthetic genes usually in Gram-positive bacteria. The anticodon of a specific tRNA base pairs to a specifier sequence within the T-box motif, and the NCCA acceptor tail of the tRNA base pairs to a conserved bulge in the T-box antiterminator hairpin.
Source: RNAcentral
UUAAAAAUGGUGAUAAGGAAUAGUAUAUGGAGUGAGUUUUUAAGAGAGCUAGAGGUUGGUGUAAUCUAGUAAGCAAACUUUAUAGAAGCAGCCUUUGAAUUUUAUAACUGAAAAAUAAAAAUUGUAACAUACGAUAAUUUUUAAUUAGGUUAUAACGUAUUCCUCACGUUAUAGAGGCGGAGUAUGAAAAUAUACUCUAACUGAGUGAACAAUAUUUAUAUUGUUUAUUAGGGUGGUACCGCGAAGUAGUUCCUUCGUCCCUUUU